GCCAGGCAUGGUGGCUCAUGCCUGUAAUCCCAGCACUUUGGGAGGCCGAGACGGGAGGGUCACCUGAGGUCAGGAGUUCAAGACCAGCCUGACCAACAUGGUGAAAUCCCGUCUCUA
Unclassified non-coding RNA from Pongo abelii (Sumatran orangutan), 117 nucleotides. It matches the Rfam family "Metazoan signal recognition particle RNA". Rfam says of the family: The signal recognition particle (SRP) is a universally conserved ribonucleoprotein. It is involved in the co-translational targeting of proteins to membranes. NCBI's taxonomy places the organism in Eukaryota, Metazoa, Chordata, Mammalia, Primates, Hominidae. The record is from Ensembl.